This 1097-nucleotide long non-coding RNA is filed under the name Gossypium raimondii (Peruvian cotton). RNAcentral's name for it is "long non-coding RNA (GRAI_LNC002313)". Lineage: Eukaryota; Viridiplantae; Streptophyta; Magnoliopsida; Malvales; Malvaceae. The record is from RNAcentral.
CAAAAUUCAGUUUUUCUCCCUUUUUUUUAAGAGAUAGCAGAGAAACCCUCUGCUAGGGUUUCUUCCAUGCCGCCGCGGCCGCGCGAGCCAUACCACGGCCUCCGACGACGCCCCGACCUCCGACUGCGACGGAGGGGGACGAUUCGACGGUUCCGGCUAAAGGUAAAUCUUUUCCUUUCUUUUUUUUUGUUAUUUUAGGUAAAAUAAAACGAAAAUAAAAGGAAAAAUAAUAUACAUAUAUACAAAAAGAAACGAUGAACAAAGUAAAAACCUUCGAAAAAUAAAUUUUCUCUGUAUUUCUUUGCUAUUUCUUGUAUCUUUUCUCCAAAAACCCCCCCAUUUUACAGAUUUUCAAAGGCUUUUAUAGCCCGAAAAAAAAGAAAAAAAUAUAUCAAAUAUAAUGCUAUUUCUUUGCUAUUUUUUCUCCUUCGGAUUCUUUGAGUCCGUAUUCGCAGGUGAAAGUGGAGAGUUUGGCGCGCGUGGAGGCCGAAACGUGCGGCGAUCGGGCGUUGGGCGCGGCGUAGGGCUGUUGCGGCGCUAAGGCAGAUGCGGCUAGGGUUUUCCUCUUUUGUUUUUGUGUUUUGCUGUAUUGAUUAGUUUGGGCUGCUUUGUUGGGCUUGUAGAAAACUGGGUUGUGCCCCAUUGUUUAUUUCACACGGGCCCGGGCUAAUUUGGGCCUACUACACCCUUAACCUACAAAAUAAGAAUUAGGGCUAAAGUAACAAGAAAGGUAAAUAAUAGGAGCUAAAUUUAUUAUUUUGCCUAAAAUAGAAACAAACAUAGUUUAUUACAAAGGGUACAUUUGGAUACAUAAAGUAAUUGCACGAAAGUAUAAUAACAAAAUAUAAUUCUAUAGAUAUGUUUAGCUAACAGAGUGUAAUUACAUCGUAAUUCCCUAUAUCAUCUUUGGUAAUAUAAAAUAUAAUUACACAACUAAAUAAUUUUAAAUUCUAAGAACAAUAUUAAUUAUUAUAAAAAAUCAAUAGAAAAUUCUCCAAGCAGGUAACAAAACUUAAAAUUAAAUUAUUGUAUGUAAUAUAAUUACUAAUAAAUUUAAUAAGAAAAAUAAGCAUAUUAUGCGAUUUUAUCUAACUACU